CCUACGGGAGGCAGCAGUGGGGAAUAUUGGGCAAUGGGCGCAAGCCUGACCCAGCACCGCCGCGUGAAGGAAGACGGCUUUCGGGUUUUACACUUCUUUUUUCAGGGACGUAGAAUGUGACGGUAUCUGCUGAAUAUGCCACGGCUAACUACGUGCCAGCAGUCGCGGUAAUCCGUAGGUGGCAAGCGUUCUUCGUCUUGAUUGGGUGUAAAGGGCGUGUAGGCGGGAGCGGAAGUUAGAGGUGAAAACUCGGGGCUCAACCCUGAGUCUGCAUUGGAGACUGUAUUUCUUGAGUUCAGUAGAGGCAGGCGGAAUUCCUGGUGUAGCGGGGAAAUGCGUAGAUAUAAGGAGGAACACCAGUGGCGAAGGCGGCUUGCUGGACAGUAACUGACGCUGAGGCGCGAAAGCGUGGGGAGCAAACAGGAGUAGAUACCCUAGUAGUC
Molecule: ribosomal RNA, 443 nt
Filed under: uncultured bacterium
Lineage: Bacteria
Description: partial 16S ribosomal RNA
Rfam family: Bacterial small subunit ribosomal RNA
Source: RNAcentral